GAUGAACGCUAGCGGCAGGCUUAACACAUGCAAGUCGAGGGGUAGAAGCUUUCGGGCUUUGAGACCGGUGCACGGGAGCGUAACGCGUAUGCAAUCUGCCUUACACUAAGGGAUAGCCCAGAGAAAUUUGGAUUAAUACCUUAUAGUAUAUUGAUGUGGCAUCACAUUAUUAUUAAAGAUUUAUCGGUGUAAGAUGAGCAUGCGUCCCAUUAGCUAGUUGGUAUGGUAACGGCAUACCAAGGCUAUGAUGGGUAGGGGUCCUGAGAGGGAGAUCCCCCACACCGGGACUGAGACACGGCCCAG
Molecule: ribosomal RNA, 303 nt
Filed under: uncultured bacterium
Lineage: Bacteria
Description: bacterial SSU rRNA
Rfam family: Bacterial small subunit ribosomal RNA
Source: RNAcentral